Populus trichocarpa (black cottonwood) is the source of this 1113-nucleotide RNA transcript. RefSeq lists it as uncharacterized. The transcript has 6 exons. The record is from RefSeq and is a predicted model, not a curated record. Lineage: Eukaryota; Viridiplantae; Streptophyta; Magnoliopsida; Malpighiales; Salicaceae.
UUCACAUCUUCAAGAAUCCUCUAAUUCUCUCUGUACUAUAUUGUUACCUUUUGAUGAUUAUUAGGGCUUGAUUAUUCACUAAUCAAUUUUUCCGAGGUUAAUUGAGCUUAAUCGAUCACUGUUUCUUAUUUCUUUCGCAGGAGGAGAUAGAGUAUGGCCUUUCCAAUGUAAGGAUUUUUUAUUUAUUUUUUUUCAAUAUUAUAAAAUGGUUUGGAAAUUAUUGUGUAGGAAAGACCGCGGGAUCAUUUGGAUAUGAGACAUAGACUGGAUUCUAAAGGUCAACGUAAAGGAAAGGUAAUUGACUACAGGUAGACUCGAAAAGAUAUGAAUGGGUUAGAGUGGAUAGCUGGGACAAUCUUUCAGGUAAUCGAUUGGUGUUUUUCGUGUUUGAUGUAAGACAAUGUGAAUGAUGGUAGGACUAUGACCUCUGGCUUACUCUUGCAAAAGGAGUGGUAGCUCAGUUGUGAUGUCCACUAGCCUAUGAGUUCAUGUGAGUUUAAAUUUUGAUGGAAAGCUGGAAACGAAGAUCUUGAUGCCCCUAUAAUGGCAAAGGAAUUCUAUUCAAGCAUAAAUUUUGUAUCCUGUCUUCAGGGAGUUUGUUUCAAGUUCUAUAUUCUUUCUUCAAUGAUUUUGUUUUCUUUCUUAUAGAGAAUGGGAUUGGAACACCAAAAGAGUUUCUUAUCCUUGCUUUUCUAGGAUGUGGAAUUACUUCCUUUUCCCUGGUGAACUGGCCCACCCUGUUAGUUGUGAUGCUGAUGACAAGCAAGAAGCCAAGGCAUAUUCAAAAGAUUUAUCAUCUUAUUGUGGAAGGUGAGAUGGCAAAUGGUUUGGCCAUCCCUCUCUUUUUCGCUCAUUGCAAAAUACACUUCAAUGGCUUUGUGAUUUGCACUCAUAUUCCAAGGAUGUUAAUGUCAUCUAGUUUAUGGCUUACCAAGUCUAACCUGUAUGUUUAAAAUGGGACAGGUUAUUGGAGGAAACUGAAGAUGAGUUGGCAGAACUGAUAAAGAAAGGAUCCGUGAAAGUAGGACGUUUGAGCAAGAUUCUAUGCCAGGAUUUGAGCAAGCACUGUAAGCAGUCAAGUGAUUCCCAUGAGGUGGAUGCUGACGAUGAUGA